CCCUUAGAUGUUCUGGGCGGCCCGCGCACUACAAUGGCGCUUUCAGCGAGUUCCUAUGUUGAAUUUUCCUUGGUAUUCUUGGAAGCGGCGUCUUGACUUGGGAUAGAUCCUUGUAAUUGUUGGUUUUGAACGAGGAAUUCCUUGUAAUCGCGGUUGAUCAGCUCGCGUUGAAUACGUCCCUGCCCUUUGUACACACCGCCCGUCGCUCCUACCGAUGAACCGUCCGGUGAAGUUCACAGAGUGGCGGUUCGUGGAGUUGCUCGCGAAGUGAAAUGGACCUCACGAUUUAGAGGAAGGAGAAGUCGUAACA
This 310-nucleotide ribosomal RNA is filed under the name uncultured eukaryote. Its description in RNAcentral is "partial 18S ribosomal RNA". It matches the Rfam family "Eukaryotic small subunit ribosomal RNA", at positions 1470 to 1796 of the family's 1831-position model. The record is from RNAcentral.